This 548-nucleotide ribosomal RNA is filed under the name Fusarium tricinctum. RNAcentral's name for it is "eukaryotic LSU rRNA". The stretch from base 179 to 332 matches the Rfam family "5.8S ribosomal RNA". The record is from RNAcentral. Lineage: Eukaryota; Fungi; Ascomycota; Sordariomycetes; Hypocreales; Nectriaceae.
GUAGGUGAACCUGCGGAGGGAUCAUUACCGAGUUUACAACUCCCAAACCCCUGUGAACAUACCUUAAUGUUGCCUCGGCGGAUCAGCCCGCGCCCCGUAAAACGGGACGGCCCGCCAGAGGACCCAAACUCUAAUGUUUCUUAUUGUAACUUCUGAGUAAAACAAACAAAUAAAUCAAAACUUUCAACAACGGAUCUCUUGGUUCUGGCAUCGAUGAAGAACGCAGCAAAAUGCGAUAAGUAAUGUGAAUUGCAGAAUUCAGUGAAUCAUCGAAUCUUUGAACGCACAUUGCGCCCGCUGGUAUUCCGGCGGGCAUGCCUGUUCGAGCGUCAUUUCAACCCUCAAGCCCCCGGGUUUGGUGUUGGGGAUCGGCUCUGCCUUCUGGCGGUGCCGCCCCCGAAAUACAUUGGCGGUCUCGCUGCAGCCUCCAUUGCGUAGUAGCUAACACCUCGCAACUGGAACGCGGCGCGGCCAUGCCGUAAAACCCCAACUUCUGAAUGUUGACCUCGGAUCAGGUAGGAAUACCCGCUGAACUUAAGCAUAUCAAU